This 253-nucleotide ribosomal RNA is filed under the name uncultured bacterium. Its description in RNAcentral is "partial 16S ribosomal RNA". It matches the Rfam family "Bacterial small subunit ribosomal RNA", at positions 524 to 776 of the family's 1533-position model. The record is from RNAcentral.
UACGGGGGGGGCAAGCGUUGUUCGGAAUUACUGGGCGUAAAGGGCUCGUAGGCGGCCAACUAAGUCAGACGUGAAAUCCCUCGGCUUAACCGGGGAACUGCGUCUGAUACUGGAUGGCUUGAGGUUGGGAGAGGGGCGUGGAAUUCCGGGUGGAGCGGUGAAAUGCGUAGAGAUCCGGAGGAACACCGACGGCGUAGGCAGCGCCCUGGACGACACCUGACGCUGAGGCACGAAAGCUGGGGGAGCGAACAGG